This 510-nucleotide ribosomal RNA is filed under the name uncultured Alkalibacterium sp. RNAcentral describes it as "bacterial SSU rRNA". It matches the Rfam family "Bacterial small subunit ribosomal RNA", at positions 8 to 499 of the family's 1533-position model. Lineage: Bacteria; Bacillati; Bacillota; Bacilli; Lactobacillales; Carnobacteriaceae. The record is from RNAcentral.
AGGCUUUGAUCCUGGCUCAGGACGAACGCUGGCGGCAUGCCUAAUACAUGCAAGUCGAACGCCGACGCACUCUGCUUGCAGAGUGUUGAGGAGUGGCGAACGGGUGAGUAACACGUGGAGAACCUGCCCAUAAGAGGGGGAUAACAUCCGGAAACGGGUGCUAAUACCGCAUAGGUGGCUGGAGCGCAUGCUCUAGUCAUGAAAGACGGCUUCGGCUGUCGCUUAUGGAUGGCUCCGCGGCGUAUUAGCUAGUUGGUGAGGUAAUGGCUCACCAAGGCAGUGAUACGUAGCCGACCUGAGAGGGUGAUCGGCCACACUGGGACUGAGACACGGCCCAGACUCCUACGGGAGGCAGCAGUAGGGAAUCUUCCACAAUGGGCGAAAGCCUGAUGGAGCAAUGCCGCGUGAGUGAAGAAGGUUUUCGGAUCGUAAAGCUCUGUUAUUAGAGAAGAACAAGAGGUGUAGUAACUGGCACCUCCUUGACGGUAUCUUACCAGAAAGUCACGGCUA